RNAcentral lists this microRNA precursor (63 nucleotides) under Petromyzon marinus (sea lamprey). Its description in RNAcentral is "Pma-Mir-184_pre stem-loop". The record is from RNAcentral. Lineage: Eukaryota; Metazoa; Chordata; Hyperoartia; Petromyzontiformes; Petromyzontidae.
CCUUAUCACUCUUCUGCUCCAGCCCUGAGGUUUUAUUCCGCUGGACGGAGGACUGAUAAGUGU